AUAUAGUGAUUUUGUCUUGGUAAGCCACAACAUGUUGUGUUUGUGGCGAGGAAUCCGGUGAGAGUCCGGAACUGACGCGCAGCGGUAUUGGGGAACGAGCGUGGCAUGAUGACACUGGCGCAAGCCGGGAAGUCGCCACGUAAGGCAGAGCCGGAAGGCUCACGCCCCUGAGUCCGAAGACCUGCCAGGGCAACAAGCACUGC
This 203-nucleotide non-coding RNA is filed under the name Marinobacter sp. Lineage: Bacteria; Pseudomonadati; Pseudomonadota; Gammaproteobacteria; Pseudomonadales; Marinobacteraceae. The record is from RNAcentral.